GUGCUUGCUUUGGCAGCACAUAUACUAAAAUUGGAACGAUACAGAGAAGAUUAGCAUGGCCCCUGUGCAAGGAUGACAUGCAGAUUUGUGAAGUGUUCCAUAUUUUU
Monodelphis domestica (gray short-tailed opossum) is the source of this 107-nucleotide small nuclear RNA. NCBI's taxonomy places the organism in Eukaryota, Metazoa, Chordata, Mammalia, Didelphimorphia, Didelphidae. The record is from Ensembl.